Molecule: ribosomal RNA, 376 nt
Filed under: Paraburkholderia guartelaensis
Lineage: Bacteria; Pseudomonadati; Pseudomonadota; Betaproteobacteria; Burkholderiales; Burkholderiaceae
Description: Paraburkholderia sp. CNPSo 3008 partial 23S ribosomal RNA
Rfam family: Bacterial large subunit ribosomal RNA
Source: RNAcentral
GUCCCAAGGGUAUGGCUGUUCGCCAUUUAAAGAGGUACGUGAGCUGGGUUGAAAACGUCGUGAGACAGUUUGGUCCCUAUCUGCCGUGGGCGCUGGAAGUUUGAGUGGGCCGGCGCCUAGUACGAGAGGACCGGAGUGGACGAACCUCUGGUGUACCGGUUGUGACGCCAGUCGCAUCGCCGGGUAGCUAUGUUCGGAAGAGAUAACCGCUGAAAGCAUCUAAGCGGGAAACUCGCCUCAAGAUGAGACUUCCCCGGGGACUAGAUCCCCUUGAAGGGUCGUUCGAGACCAGGACGUUGAUAGGUCAGGUGUGGAAGCGCAGUAAUGCGUUAAGCUAACUGAUACUAAUUGCCCGUAAGGCUUGAUCCUAUAACAG